Molecule: ribosomal RNA, 465 nt
Filed under: uncultured bacterium
Lineage: Bacteria
Description: partial 16S ribosomal RNA
Rfam family: Bacterial small subunit ribosomal RNA
Source: RNAcentral
GACGAACGCUGGCGGCGUGCUUAACACAUGCAAGUCGAACGGAAAGGCCCUGCUUGCAGGGUACUCGAGUGGCGAACGGGUGAGUAACACGCGGGUGAUCUGCCCUGCACUUCGGGAUAAGCCUGGGAAACUGGGUCUAAUACCGGAUAGGAGCCAUCUUUAGUGUGAUGGUUGGAAAGUUUUUUCGGUGUAGGAUGAGCUCGCGGCCUAUCAGCUUGUUGGUGGGGUAAUGGCCUACCAAGGCGGCGGCGGGUAGCCGGCCUGCGGGGGUGGACGGCCACCUUGGGGCUGAGGUGCGGCCCAGGCUCCGACGGGGGGGCGCAGGGGGGAAUAUUGCCCCAUGGGCGCAAGGCUGGUGCAGCGACGCCGCGGGGGGGAAGACGGCCUUUGGGUUGUAAACUCCUUUCGCAAGGGACGAAGCUUUUUGUGACGGUACCUAGAGAAGAAGCACCGGCUAACUACGUG